GGCGGCUGUAGCCCACAUCUCCCGAGCGACCCCCGGCGCCCGCCCGCCGCGCGGAGGCCCGGGCCACACCUCACUGGCCGCUUGGCCCAUCCCAGUCAGCGCAGCGCCGAACCCCGUCCGCGCGCGCCGGGGAGCGGCGCCCCCGCCGCUGCCGCCGCGACCCUUGGCGCCUUCCCCUGCGCCGGGAGGCUGGAGUGCAGUGGCAAGAUCUCGGCUCACUGCAACCUCUACCUCCCGGGUUCAAGUGAUUCUUCUGCCUCAGCCUCCCAACCCCACUGCAGGCCCCACCAUGGCGCCGUUCCUGCGCAUCGCCUUCAACUCCUAUGAGCUGGGCUCCCUGCAGGCCGAGGACGAGGCGAACCAGCCCUUCUGUGCCGUGAAGAUGAAGGAGGCGCUCAGCACAG
This 404-nucleotide small RNA is filed under the name Pan troglodytes (chimpanzee). RNAcentral describes it as "processed transcript". The record is from RNAcentral. Lineage: Eukaryota; Metazoa; Chordata; Mammalia; Primates; Hominidae.